Molecule: non-coding RNA, 213 nt
Organism: Pelobates cultripes (western spadefoot toad)
Lineage: Eukaryota; Metazoa; Chordata; Amphibia; Anura; Pelobatidae
Source: the annotation of a GenBank genome assembly
GUUCUACACACCUCUAUUGGUUGUCAUACUUACAGCCGCCAGAGACGCUUCCACUGCACUGACGUGAUGUCACAACAGCUCAUCAAGCAUGAUGAGCUCCAUUUCAGGUCCUCUACGAGGCACAUUGGAUUAACCAGAGGAAGCCAUGUCUUCUCAAUGACAUUGCAGAAGGGUGAGAGAUGAACUGCCUCAAUGGAGUUAUAAGGAUUUGUG